This is a non-coding RNA of Chanos chanos (milkfish), 360 nucleotides long. The record is from the annotation of a RefSeq genome assembly. NCBI's taxonomy places the organism in Eukaryota, Metazoa, Chordata, Actinopteri, Gonorynchiformes, Chanidae.
AUGUUCCCUUUUGCUCUGCUGUCACAGCUGCUGCUGUUAGCAGCCAUGUCUUGUGUCCAGUGUCAGGUUCUCACCCAGUCUGAACAAUCAGUGGUUGUGUCUCCAGGUGGAGUCCACAAACUCACCUGUGCCUGCAGUGGAUUUAGUGUUAGUGGUGCUUAUAUGCACUGGGUCCGUCAGGCUCCUGGAAAAGGACUGGAAUGGAUCAUUUACUAUUAUUCUGAUAGCAGCAAGAACACAGCCCAGGCAGUGCAGGGCCGCUUCACAGCAUCCAAGGACAGCUCUAAUUUCUACCUUCAUAUGAACCAACUGAAGACUGAGGACACUGCAGUUUAUUACUGUGCUAGAGAUUCACUGUGA